UGGAAAUUUCACAGAAUGCAGAAACCUUGUCCGCUCCUUUUUCCAACAUCCCCUCUCCAUUCAUUGCCUCUCCUAUGUAGGCCCUCACUUCCUGACAAAUGCUUCUCUGUGGUCUGGCGAAUGGAAUGAGACUGCAUUUCACCCUCAAGGCUGUGUGAGCUGCACUAGUGGCCACUGUGUCUCUGGUCAAGAUGUUCAUCUCCUCAUCACAGUUGUGCUGUCAGAGAGCCAGCUAUUGGAAGGAGAAAUUUAAAGAUGCUUCCAGGACACUAAUCAAGAAUCUAUCAAUGUGGAUAAUCAUUCCAAAGAUGCAGUUGGCAACCAUUCUUGCUUUUCUAUCCCAUAUGACUCUUCUUUAAAGUCUAUGGUAAGUCCUCUACAAGGGGUCUGCUUAAUUUGCUGGGGCCUUCUUAUAGAUUU
RNAcentral lists this long non-coding RNA (420 nucleotides) under Phascolarctos cinereus (koala). Its description in RNAcentral is "lncRNA (ENSPCIG00000003000.2)". Lineage: Eukaryota; Metazoa; Chordata; Mammalia; Diprotodontia; Phascolarctidae. The record is from RNAcentral.